Molecule: ribosomal RNA, 300 nt
Filed under: Salmonella enterica subsp. enterica serovar Infantis
Lineage: Bacteria; Pseudomonadati; Pseudomonadota; Gammaproteobacteria; Enterobacterales; Enterobacteriaceae
Also listed under: 4 other names
Description: partial 16S ribosomal RNA
Rfam family: Bacterial small subunit ribosomal RNA
Source: RNAcentral
AAAUUGAAGAGUUUGAUCAUGGCUCAGAUUGAACGCUGGCGGCAGGCCUAACACAUGCAAGUCGAACGGUAACAGGAAGCAGCUUGCUGCUUCGCUGACGAGUGGCGGACGGGUGAGUAAUGUCUGGGAAACUGCCUGAUGGAGGGGGAUAACUACUGGAAACGGUGGCUAAUACCGCAUAACGUCGCAAGACCAAAGAGGGGGACCUUCGGGCCUCUUGCCAUCAGAUGUGCCCAGAUGGGAUUAGCUUGUUGGUGAGGUAACGGCUCACCAAGGCGACGAUCCCUAGCUGGUCUGAGA